Molecule: ribosomal RNA, 468 nt
Filed under: uncultured bacterium
Lineage: Bacteria
Description: partial 16S ribosomal RNA
Rfam family: Bacterial small subunit ribosomal RNA
Source: RNAcentral
GACGAACGCUGGCGGCGUGCUUAACACAUGCAAGUCGAACGGAAAGGCCCUGCUUUUGUGGGGUGCUCGAGUGGCGAACGGGUGAGUAACACGUGAGUAACCUGCCCUUGACUUUGGGAUAACUUCAGGAAACUGGGGCUAAUACCGGAUAGGAGCUCCUGCUGCAUGGUGGGGGUUGGAAAGUUUCGGCGGUUGGGGAUGGACUCGCGGCUUAUCAGCUUGUUGGUGGGGUAGUGGCUUACCAAGGCUUUGACGGGUAGCCGGCCUGAGAGGGUGACCGGCCACAUUGGGACUGAGAUACGGCCCAGACUCCUACGGGAGGCAGCAGCGGGGAAUAUUGCACAAAGGGCGGAAGCCUGAUGCAGCAACGCCGCGUGCGGGAUGACGGCCUUCGGGUUGUAAACCGCUUUCGCCUGUGACGAAGCGUGAGUGACGGUAAUGGGUAAAGAAGCACCGGCUAACUACGUG